AGCUCCAAUAGCGUAUAUUAAAGUUGUUGCAGUUAAAAAGCUCGUAGUUGAACCUCUGGCCAGGGAAGACGGUCGCCUUCGGGUUGUACUUUUUUCUCUGGCCUUCCUUCUAGCGAACUAUUGUGCCAUUCAUUUGGUGCGAUAGGGAACUAGGACUUUUACUUUGAAAAAAUUAGAGUGUUUAAAGCAGGCAAUCGCUUGAAUACAUUAGCAUGGAAUAAUAAAAUAGGACUUUGGUUUUAUUUUGUUGGUUUUCAAGACCAGAGUAAUGAUUAAUAGGGACAGUUGGGGGCAUUAGUAUUUAGCCGUCAGAGGUGAAAUUCUUGGAUUGGCUAAAGACUAACUUCUGCGAAAGCAUUUGCCAAGGAUGUUUUCA
Molecule: ribosomal RNA, 376 nt
Filed under: uncultured eukaryote
Lineage: Eukaryota
Description: SSU rRNA
Rfam family: Eukaryotic small subunit ribosomal RNA
Source: RNAcentral